RNAcentral lists this long non-coding RNA (13335 nucleotides) under Vitis vinifera (wine grape). Its description in RNAcentral is "long non-coding RNA (VVIN_LNC000387)". The stretch from base 7510 to 7590 matches the Rfam family "tRNA". The record is from RNAcentral. Lineage: Eukaryota; Viridiplantae; Streptophyta; Magnoliopsida; Vitales; Vitaceae.
UGAGCUUCUCGACUGCACCAGUUUCUCACCAUGGUGCACCUCCAAAUCCAAACCCCACCUCACAACAAACCCAACCAACCCCACACGAGGCCCCCGCCGCCACCACUCUUCCGAUGUCCCCCACCAUCCUCUCGACCCCCUCACGGUCCAAGAAAUCAACCGCGUCCGUACAAUCCUCUCUUCCCACGCGCCGCUCAAAGCAUCGAAGAGGUAUACGAUUCACGCCGUUGACCUGGAGGAGCCGGCGAAGCCACUCGUCCUCCGGUGGAAGAAAGGCAACCCCAUGCUGCCACGGAGGGCUUCCGUAAUAGCACUUGUGGGGGGGGAGUCGCACUUGUUGACAGUGGACUUGGCCACGAGUCAGGUCACUCGAGACGACGUCCUUCCUCCCUCCGGCUAUCCGACGAUGACCGUUGAGGACAUGACGACGGCCACGAAGGCUCCGCUUGUGGAUGGGAAUUUCAACCGUACGAUCAUCGAGCGCGGGAUUGAUCUGGCGGAUCUCGCUUGUUUGCCACUUUCGACGGGGUGGUUUGGGAAAAGUGAGGAGAAGAGGCGGCUGAUUAAGGUUCAGUGCUACUCCUUGAAGGACACUGUCAACUUCUACAUGAGGCCAAUCGAAGGUCUGACGGUGCUUGUGGAUUUGGACAGCAAGCAAGUGGUCGAGAUUUCAGAUCGAGGACAGAACAUCCCCAUACCCAACGCCGCCAACACAGACUAUCGCUACUCCGCCCAGAGCAAACCCACGAACCUACUCAACCCGAUAUCCAUAGAGCAGCCCAAGGGCCCGAGUUUCACAGUAGAAAACGACCACUUGAUCAAAUGGGCAAAUUGGGAAUUCCACCUCAAAGCCGAAUCAAGAGCCGGAGUGAUAAUUUCCCGGGUCAUGUUUCGGGACCCGGACACCGGAUUGCUGAGGAAUGUGAUGUACAAAGGCUUAACAUCCGAGUUUUUUGUCCCAUACAUGGACCCAACUGAUGCAUGGUACUUCAAGACUUACAUGGAUGCUGGCGAAUACGGGUUUGGACUCCAGGCAAUGCCCCUUGACCCGCUUAACGAUUGUCCGCGAAACGCAUACUACAUGGAUGGUGUGUUCGCUGCAGCUGAUGGCACGCCAUUCGUACAAUCAAAUAUGAUCUGCAUCUUUGAGAGCUAUGCAGGUGAUAUCGGAUGGCGGCACGCAGAGAGUCCAAUUACAGGCAUGGGGGUAAGGUUGGACCCGAUGGAUAUGCCCCGUGUGGGUUCAUAUUCCAUGACUCGGUCCAUGUUCUGAUUUUGUUGGUUUAAGUAAUUACGUACCCCAAGUUUGAAAAUAAUGGAUGACGAUAGCUGUUUUGUUUUGGCUAUUGAUAGAUCCGAGAGGUGAGACCGAAGGUGACGCUUGUGGUUAGAAUGGCAGCAUCAGUGGCCAAUUAUGAUUAUAUUGUGGAUUGGGUGUUUCAGACUGAUGGCCUCAUCCGAAUCAAGGUUAGCAACUAAUCAAACCUGUCAAUUGAAUCCCGUAUGUGUUGUUAGUAGCUUUUGCCAUAUAAUCUUUGAGUAUGUAUGGAGAGAUAUAGACCAUCAAAUAGGGGUAUAAAUGAAUAAGACCAAAGUAUAUUUAUAACAUUUAACCUUGUACAAAAUAUCUAUUAUUCACCUUACCUAGACAAGUCACUUCUUUUGAUAAGGUUUCAUGGACGAACUGUCUCAUGGAAAGUUACAGUCUAAUAACUAUUAUUAGUCAGCUAUAUGUUCUAUCCCAGUGCUCGUAUUCAAAUACUGAUUUGAAAAAUACUCACAGGUUGGACUUAGUGGCAUCCUGAUGGUGAAAGGCACCCCUUAUGUGAACAUGAACCAAGUGCCAGGGCAGGAAUAUCUCUAUGGCACCCUCUUAUCAGAAAAUGUCAUCGGGGUUAUCCAUGACCACUACCUCACUUUCUAUCUGGACAUGGACGUGGAUGGCUCGGAUAAUUCAUUUGUUAAAGUGAAUCUUGAGAAGCAGAUGACUGCUAAUGGGGAAUCGCCAAGGAGGAGCUUCUUAAAGGCUACCAGGAAGGUGGCGAAGACGGAGAAGGACGCACAAAUCAAAUUCAAACUCUAUGAGCCAGCUGAGUUUCAUGUCAUCAAUCCGUCCAAAAAGACACGGGUUGGGAACCCCGUUGGGUACAAGGUGGUUGCCGGUGGAACAGCUGCUAGCUUGCUCGAUCAUGAAGAUCCUCCCCAGAAGCGUGGCGCUUUUACUAACAAUCAAAUAUGGGUCACCCCGUAUAAUCGGAGUGAGCAAUGGGCAGGUGGCUUGUUGGUUAGCCAGAGCCAGGGUGAUGACAAUCUUGCAGUAUGGUCUGAUCGGUAAGCUUUUUACUUAUUUAUUUAUUUUAUAAUACGGUUGUAAUCAGAGCAUGGAAAAUUGAAGAUACGAUGAAAACAUUGCAGGAAUAGGCCAAUUGAGAACAAGGACAUUGUGGUUUGGUAUACUUUGGGCUUCCAUCACAUACCAUGUCAAGAGGACUUCCCUGUCAUGCCAACAGUUUCCUCAAGCUUCGACCUAAAGCCUGUCAAUUUCUUCGAGAGCAAUCCCAUUCUUCGGAUGCCACCUAAUGUCGAAAAUGAUCUUCCAAUUUGCAAGCCAGAUGCUUCAGCUUAAACACCCGAAAUACUCUGUUUUGUUAUAUGUUGUAGAUAUAUGAAGAUACCAGAAUAGUGGGGCUGUAACUAAUCCCAAACUUGAUAAAAUAAAUGUGGAUUAUGGCUUUUUCUCCCCGCAGCUUUAUGACAAAUGAUUUGCUGCAAACAAUGUAAAGAAUUAUUUGCAAAAGCUGACCACCUAAUGAACAGGUAGACGAGGAUCAGGGGAUCGGAUUAUGAAAGUAAAAUGAAAAGUGAUUAUCAUUUGGCCCGAUUCGAAACUAUUUUCGAAAACAAAAACACAUUUGAAAAUAAAAAAUUAGAAAAUAUUGGUUUGGUGCGGAGUGCCGUGGACGGCUCAAAAGCGUGCGGGAGAUGUUGGUUUGGUUUUUUUGACGUGAGGCGGGCCAUGCGCUGGAAACAAUGAAAAGAAAGGAAAAGGAAAUUUUACCUUCCUCCUCCAUUUGCGUAUACACUCCACUCACGGAAAAAGAAAAGGGGGCUUUUUUCCGACUCUAUGUAACAUUGACAAAUGACAGCCUUGUGUUUCUAAGGUGAGCCAUGGGUGGAACCCACCAACGGAUGCCUUGUAGACCCCAACUCAGCCCACCAAGGAGACGACACUUUUCUUGUCUAACCAAAUGGAGAUGGUAGGAGGGCGGCGUAUAAUAAGAAACAUAUCUUAGAUACGAUGGAAACAAAGCCUUGCAAUGUUUUAAGUAUCACUCGUUUUGGAGGAAACGGUUAUUUUGGGUGUAGAUAUAUUUCUUGUUGGGAAAAUGAGAUGAAAUAUUUAUCAUAUUAAUUGAUUCAAGCCAGACAAUAUUUUAUCUUUAAAAUAGGUUUACCCUCUUCAAGGAUCAAACUUCAAUGUAAUAGGGAAUCAAUGUCUCACCUCUUGGAUUCAACAAUCAAAACAUCGUUGAUUUAAGAAAUAUAUUCAUUCUACGGGUCUUACUAAUAUCAUAUAAUUGUUUUUAGACAUUCAAGAAUAAAAUUUCUUGUUCCCUUGUGCACAUUUUAUAGGAUAAAGGUUACAAGAUUGUCAAUUUUUUGGCAUUAAGAUUGAAACCAUCUAAUCGAUUUUUAUAGUUUAUUGCUUCCUCAUCCAAUUGUGUGUUGUAUGAGAGGAAUUAUAUUUGAUAAAAUGAUAUGUGACCUCAUUGAUCCAUAUUGGUAACUUUGCAAGAUAAGUAUGAAAUGAUCGAAAUAGUUUUAUGUGACAACUUAUUGAAUCCAUAAAAGUUUCAAGUAUCCACAUGGUCAUUUUUUUAAGUGGGAGAAUGUUGGAAUUAUUAUGGCCCUCAUGAUCACAUAAAGUUAAUCCUUGUAUUCUAUGGUUUAUGACCGAAGUCAUGAAUUUAAUGUAUUUACAUUUCUCAUAUUAUAUAUAUCAUGUAUGUAGGAAGAUUAAAUGUGCAAGGUAUAUGAAAAAAUAUGAAGUAUCAUAACAAAAGUCAUGAAUUUGCUAAAUUGUGUACAAAUUAUAAUGACCAAAAUCAUGUACCUACUUUAAAGUUAUCAUAUACCAAGAAUAUUACAUAGAAUUGAGAAGUAUGAAUUUAUACUAUCUAAUAGGAAGUGUUCAUUUGUGACUCUAGAUGGAAGAUCACUUAACAUGUUAUAAAAAAAACUCUUGAUUCCUCUCUUCACUCAUCCUUAAGUUUUGAAGGAUUUCAUCGUUUGUUCAAACAUUUAAUAAGAGAAAGAAAAGGAAAGAUACACGGUAUGAAUACUAAUACAAAGAGACUAGGGUAUAUACUACCAGAGUGACUUAACAUUAUAAGUAAUUUCCAUAGAGUGAUCUUUAUCAUAAUAGUACAAAAUGAGGUUUGUAGAUUUAUUUUCUUCCAUUAAACUAGAGUUUGUGUGAUGUUAUUUUGUUCCAAUGUCAAUUUCUUCCCAAAAUUGUAACAUCUCAUCACAAUGCUAAAUAACAUAGAGAAAUAGAUGAUGGAAGGGAAUUUGUGUAUUGACAUUUUUUGUUUUAAUGUUUGAGAAGAAUGUUAUGUUUUUUAGUAUUAAUUGAAUCUAUUUUUAAGUUCUAAGUUAUUUUUAAAUAUUGCUAAACCCAUUUAAAAUUUAAAUGAAUUAAGGGUUUGUUUGAUAAAUUAACUUAAUAAUUUAAUAACUUAAUUUAAAUUAUUAAAUAAAUUAAAUAUGUUUGAUAAAAUAACUUAAUAAUAUUACUUAGAAUUAAAAAUAACUUUUAAUAAUAAUUCAAAAUAAUUAACUUAUUCCAAAUUCCAAAUUUCUUUUACUCAAUAUGCUUACACUUGUCAAAAUCUUUUUUACAUCCACACGGAUAUAUUUGUCACUCAUUUUUUGUAGUAAAUAUUUUAUAGUUAUUUUAUGUAAUUUUAUGCUUUUAUAGUAUUUUUAAUUUGGAUAUUUAAGAACAAAUUUAUUACUUAAAAUUAAAUAUGUAAUUUUAGUUAAAAUCAAUUAUAGUGAAUAUCUUUGAUAAUUUAAAAAUAAUAAUAAUAAGUUCAUUUUAUGGAACAAUUUCAGUGAUUAUAGCAAAAAUAAAUAAAUAAAUAAUUUAAGAUUAAUUUAAUGGAAGAGUCAACUUAAUCAUUAGGUAAUAAUUAAGCAUUAAUUUUCACCAAACAUUAUGUAUUGCUUGAUUUUAAGUACGUUUGUCUAGUGAGAAGAGAAAUAGCAUGGUCAUUUGGGGCAAUUUUUAGCUGUGAAUUUUUCAGAGUAAUUUGUUUAUUUUUUAAGUUCUAAAUUAUUUUUAAAAAUUAAUAUACUUGCUAUUAUAAAUUAAGUACCAGUUAAUUUGAAGUCUAUUUAUCAAAUAAGAAAAGUUGAAAAAAAAUAUAAUUUUACAAAUAAUAAUAAUAAUAAGAAGAAAGUUAUUUUAGGAUUAGUUUUUUUUUUCAUAAAUUUCAGAUAUUAACUGGAUUAUUAUUUAAAUUUCUAGAUUUUUUAAUAAAUUCAAUGUGUUAAGUCUUUUUUUUUUAAGUUAAUUAAAAAUUAUAAAAAUAUAUAAUUAUAUGACAUGGAAAAAUUAGUGAAGUAAUUCAUAAUCAGUUUUAGAGGAUAUUUGGUAAAUCAAAUUAAUGACUUAAUAAUUUAAUAUUACAACUUAAAGUUAAAAUUAACUUUAAAUAAUAAGUUCAAAUAGUUAACUUAUUAUUAAUAUCAAUUUUUUUUGUUUCAUUUACCCAUACUAGUGACAAUAUAUUUUAAAAUUAUGAUUUCAUAUUCAUGACUUAUUUUUUAUAAUAAAUGUUUUAUGAUUAUAUUAUACAUCUACAAUACUUUAAAUAUAAAUGUUUUAUGUGAAAUAUGACUAAUUAAAUUAAGCAAAUCACCUAAGAAAGAGUGAGGGAUGAAUUGGGUGUUAAAAGCUUUUUGAAAAUUUUUAAACAAACACAAAGAGAUAAGUAGAAUUAAGCAAGAUAAUAAAAAAAAUUAAAAAUAGAUAAAGAAAUUGCAAACUCUUUUUAUAACGGUUCAACAAUCUACCUACAUCCACUUUUUUCAAACUCUUAAUCAAGUAAAGGUUCCACUGUCUCCAAGGCUUUAAGACUAAAGUCUUCAAUCUUCUCACACUUGGAUUACAAGAUUCCAAUCGCUUCACACUCCCUUUAUGUUUACACACACUUGAAUCUUUUUCCUCAAAAAGAAUAAAUGGAAGAUGAUUCAAUGUUUUCAACCCUAGAAGGAUCUUACCUCACAAUACAAGAAGACUUAGGAUAGAUUUUGUGGUGUAUUAAUGGAAUAAGCAAGUUUGAAAUCAGAUGCACUUGAAUAAAGAGUUUUGAAAAUGAGAAAGUAGGUGCUUUUCAAUUCAAUGGAUGUGUUCCGUUAUCAACAAAUGCAAUAAACUCUUCAAUUUAUAGAAAACAUAUUAAAAACUUAAAACAACUAAAAGUAACAUCAAUCAAUCGAGUUUUGGUUCAAUAGAUUGACUAGUCAUUGAUGCAUUUAAUGUUGUGUAGGUGAUUGUUGGUGCUUUUAAAAUUCAACCAACCCUUUAUCAAACUUCCAUUGGGUAAGCCUAGCCGAUUAAGUCAGCUCUUCAAUCGAUUUGACCGAUUCAAAUAAAUCUUAAUCGACUAUACCCAAAAGUAAAUAAAAACCUCUAAUUUGAGGUUCCAACAACUUAUAUAACCCUUUUUAAAACCUUUUUUUUUUUUUAAAUUAAGUUAGUUUAGGAAGAAUUAAACUAAAGGUUUUGAAUGAAAACACCUAUUCAUCCACUUUCAUAAUAAAAAAUUAUUUUAAAGCUUAGGUAAGAAUAAAGAGAGUACCUUUCAAGUAUAUGAAAUAAAGUUUUAAACCUAAGUUUACCAUAGAAUACCACCUCACAAAUUUUCUAAACACUUUAAUACUUAAAGAAUCCAUGUCUUCAUGUCAUUUGAUUUUCUUUUAAGGUUGCUUAAACUUUCUUUAGUAAUUUUCAUUAAAACUUGAAAAUUUUACUUAAUAUAAAACGUUAGUGAACUUAACAUCGUUUUAUAAUCAUCAAAACUUGAUUGGAAGAACCAUUGGGCUAACAUUCUAUAAAUAAAUUUAUUACUUAAAAUUAAUGAAAAUAAAUAAUUUAAAAUCAACGAGGAUAAAUAUUAGUCAAAAUUAACAAGGGUAUAUUAAUCAAUUUGAUAAUUUAGUAUAAAUUUUAAGUUAUUAACUUAAAAUAAACAGCUUAAAAAUAAUUUAAUUUAAAGUUAACUUAAGUCAUUAAGUAAUAAAUAUUGACUUUUACUAAAUACCAACUUAGUUUCAUCACUUUUUAAUAUUAAUUGAAUUAGUUCUUUUAGUUCCAUGACUUUCUACUAUUAAUUGAAAUAGAUAUUUGGGAUAUAAAUUUUAAAUAUUAACAAAUCCAAUGCAUUAAGUAUAGUUUAAAAUAUAAGUGAUAUAUCUUAUUUUUAUAUAAAAAAAUACAAAGUUGAGAUGGCCGAGUUGGUCUAAGGCGCCAGAUUAAGGUUUUGGUCCGAAAGGGCGUGGGUUCAAAUCCCACUCUCAACAUGUUUAUUUUUGUUUUUAUCAAAUAUUCAAGCCCAAGCCCAUUUCAAACAAAACCCAAUUCUAUUUUCCAUUUUGUCUUUUCCAAUUUCUAACCAAAAUACAACAUGUUUAUUAUGUUUUUAUCAAUAUUUAACCCAAAUAUUCAAGCCCAAGCCCAUUUCAAACAAACCCGAAUUCUAUUUUCCCUUUUGUCUUUUCCAAUUUCUAACCAACAUAUCCAAGCCCGCAUUCUGAAUUCCAUUUUUUCUUUUCCAAUUUCCCUACGAUUUUUAAAAGAUUGUUCUUAUAAUUUUCCGUAAAGGUGAUGUCAAUUGUUGAAUUUGGGGCACACGACAACCGCAUAAGCAUUUGCAAGGUUACUUCUCCAUAGUUAGUGUAGCACGCCAGUGUACUUUUUCCUUUCAACUUGCUUUGAAGUCUUUGCUUGAGUGAUGAGAAGAGUAAUGCAUCGGUGCUAAUACAUUCAACCCGACCCCUAAUCCAACCCAAUCUCUAAUUCAAGGUGUUUAAUCGAAAUAUAACUUUUUUUAAUUUUUUCAAAUUUGAUUUAUGUUCAAGUCAAAUUUAAGUUGAUCAAAUUAAGCUCGGGUAUUCUGAAUUAUAUGUCAACAUCAUAUUAAGAUAUUAAACAUUUUUCUUAUAAAAUUAUUUGAAAUAAAAUAAAUAGAAUAUAAAUUAUAAGUAUCAUAAAAUAUUAACAAUUCAUUUGACAAUAAUUUUAGAAAAUAUUUUUAUUUAAAAAAAAAUAUUAAACGUUUAAUAAAAUUUUAAAAACUUUUAAAACUUUGAAAAAUCACUUAUAUGCUUCUGAGUAGAACCACCCUGACCACACUCAAAAUCAGGUUGAAGUAAAACCUAAUCUGUCAAAAUCCUUUACCCAAACCCAGAUAUUAAAAAUAUUUAUUCAUAGGGUCGAGUCACGUCAACCACUAAAAGAUAUCACAUUGCCUAGAAGGUUCGACAUAGUGGGCAACAUAUGACCAGGGAAACUAUCAUCAUUUGGAUGAACGUAAGCUUUCAGUCAUUUAUGGCUCACAUGAUUACUGUCUAUGUAAUGUUUUGGGUUAAUACCCCCUUACACAGGGCAUGAACUAGAACGGGACAAACCAAUCGGCAUCAAUUCAUUAGAGUUCCUGUGAAAUUUUUGACACAAAGUAGAAAAUGGGUCAAUCUGAAAUUAGGAGUAGAAUCCAAGCAAGGAAGCCAGAUUAUAAAGACACCAAAACUUAAACGAAAAAACAUGGAGGUUUCUCUAGCAGAAGAGUCUUGGAAGAAGUCAUGUGUGGAAGUAAAAGUCUAAAUGAUGGGCAAAAUGACCUUGACUGGGCAGAGAGAUGAAACUGAAAGCGACUUGUCUGUGUACACUAUUGGAAAUAUGACACCAACUGAGCGUAUGAUUUAACAAGGUACCAAGAGCCAUUUCCAAGAAGCCCUCUCUGAAUUGCAUCGAUAGUGCCGGCCACUAUAGAAUCCCCCCUGGCCCUUUUGGUUUGUUGCUUUCCAAUUCCAUAUCUGCAUGACGAAUUUCCCAUAUUGAUAAAAUUGUAUCUUAUCUCUGUCAGAAGCACCACAGCCACUUACAUUUCUCAUAAAAGAGGAGCCUUUACGUUAAAGGUCACUAUGAUGGAGAAAAAAAAAAAAGAUGAGCAACAGGACGAUUCCAUGGACCAGAGACCAUGUUCUUUAGACCUAAAGGUGAUCUGGAUCGUGUUGAUUGUAGCUGUUCAUUUGGGUCCCAUGGGAAAGUUUUGAUUGAUUAGAAGUCCACCACUAACGAUGGAUAUUGUAAGGAUGAAUUAUCGGAUACAACUGUUCAUUGACUUGUGAUGCCAAUCCAAAGUCCUAAACCGUUUGAAGGCUAGAGGAGAGAGGAGGGUUAUACUAUAUUGUUAUUGGAAACAAGAAAAACAAAGCUAACUUUGAAAAUUAUGAAAGGCAAAUGAGAACGCUGACCCGUUCUUACAGUUCUCCAUCAGACAAUCUGUCCAAAGGUCCCAACUCAUUGCCUCCUCAUUAUUCUGCACCAACAAAUACCCAGUGAAAAAUAAGAGAACAUUGGGUUGAACCAACAAGGGGAAAAGGGAAGGAAGACCACAAACACAAGAAUUGGGUGUGGGGAGAGAACGAGGGAGAAUGCAUUCUCCUUGCAUUAGGGAGACCUCAGAAGCCUGCUUUCAAGGUUGCUGUCUGGCUUCUUUGCCUGGUUUUCCUGAUCCCCAUGGCACGGAUCCAAAGAAUCUCAGCAGUGCUGCUGUAUCCAGGUACAAUUUUGCUCUCACCACAGUUUCAUCUCUCUUCCCAAACACCCAAUUCACCAACCAUGAAUCCCUCCCUCCGUUGGAUGAAUCGUUUUCUAGCUUCAAUAAAGCGUACCCACAAUACUCCAACACUAAUCAAGCCGAUCAGAUAAGAGCCCAAGAAUACUACCAUCUGUCCAUGUCCAACCAUGUAUGUCUUGAUUACAUUGGCCAUGGCCUCUUCUCCUAUUCCCAGCUACAAAGUCAUCACAUGACAGCCCCAGUUCCCUCUUCAUCAUCAUCUUCUGCUCCAUCACUGAAUUUCAGUUCUCUAGAACUGCCCUUCUUUGAAAUCUCCUACAAGUCAGUAAAUUUGAAUUCUCAGAUACUCUAUGGUGGAGAAGAGUCAGAAUUGGAAUCUAAAAUCCGGAAAAGAAUUAUGGAUUUUAUGAAUAUCUCUGAAGCAGACUACUCCAUGGUUUUCACUGCCAACCAGUCAUCAGCUUUUAAACUUCUAGCAGACUUCUAUCCAUUCCAGUCUAACCAAAAUCUUCUUACGGUCUAUGAUUAUGAGAAUGAGGCAGUGGGAGCAAUGAUCCGUGCAUCCAAGAAGAGAAGCGCCCGAGUCCUGUCGGCAGAGUUCUCAUGGCCUAAUUUGAGGAUUCAUUCAGCAAAACUGAAGAAGAUUAUACUAAACAAGAGGAAAAAGAGGAGAGGGUUGUUUGUAUUCCCACUUCAGUCAAGGAUGACUGGAGCUCGAUAUUCUUACUUGUGGAUGAGCAUGGCACAGGAGAAUGGGUGGCAUGUCUUACUUGAUGCAUGCGCAUUGGGACCUAAGGACAUGGAGACCUUGGGCCUCUCUCUCUUUAGGCCAGACUUUCUCAUCUGCUCUUUUUUCAAGGUUUUUGGGAAGAACCCAUCUGGGUUUGGAUGCCUAUUUGUCAAGAAAUCCAGUGCUUCAAUCUUAAAGGAUUCAACUACUGCUGUAAGUGUAGGGAUUGUGAGUCUUCUUCCAGCUACAAGACGAUCUCAGUUCCCUGAUGAAUCAGCCACUACUGAUAUAGAGACUGAACAAACAUCAAAGCUUAAAUUGCAUAAGGGUGAGUUGCCAGCAGCAAGUUCCUUGUCUGGGCCUUUACCUGUUCAGAAAAUAAGCAAUGAAACUUUUGAAUCAUAUGAAAUUUCUGAUGUUAACUUCAAACAGAAGGGUUCAUCAUCCUCCGAAAUUGUGGAAUUGGAGAUGCCACUUGACAUUCCCCAAUCCCUAAACAAAGACAGCAGCGUCAAUGGGUACUCACAGAUUGAAUGUAGAGGCUUGGAUCAUGCGGAUUCAUUGGGCCUGAUACUGAUCAGUUUGAGAGCAAGAUUCCUGAUCAACUGGCUGGUAAAUGCAUUAAUGAGCCUUCGACACCCACAUUCAGAAAAUGGACUUCCCCUAGUCAGAAUCUAUGGCCCAAAUGUAGCAUUUGACCGAGGACCAGCUGUGGCAUUCAAUGUGUUUGAUUGGAAAGGAGAAAAGGUUGAGCCCACUCUAGUGCAAAAGCUUGCAGAUCGAAGCAACAUUUCCUUAAGUCAUGGAUUUUUGCAGCAUAUAUGGUUCUCAGAUAAGUACGAAGAAGAGAAAGAGAAGAUUCUAGAGCUAAGGACCAUUGGAGUGGAAGGAACACUAGGAAAUAAAAAGCGAGAUAAAUCUAGUUCAGGAAUAUCUGUGGUCUCAGCAGCAUUAGGACUCCUAACCAACUUUGAGGAUGUGUACAACCUCUGGGCAUUUGUAUCCCGGUUUCUAGAUGCUGACUUUGUGGAGAAAGAGCGAUGGAGAUAUGUGGCUCUAAAUCAGAAGACAGUCGAAGUUUAAAUUGAACUUAUUCUUUCAUUCUUUCACAUUAUGUCAAUCCAUAAUUUAUUAUGAUUUAUGCAUUCCUACUGUCAUAUUGAGUCAUAUAAUCACACCAAAAAAGAAAAAAUUAUAUUUCUAGUAGAAGAAAGAAUAACACAAACUGUUCUUCUGAUUCAAAUUUCAAUUAUUUGUAUCACAGUUGAUUCGGGUUUAGAAAUUAAAUGGUAAGAAUGUGGAUAAAAUAGCACAAGUCCACAAGCUUCCAUUUAUGGUACUUCGCAACCAUGGGUGUUCUAAAAUCUAUCAUCACCGUUUGUCUAGGAACAAUCUUGAUUUAUAUUUGGAUGGAAUAUCUCAUUGAGAUAUAACUCAAAUAUCAAUCUGAUCUAACUCAUGAUCAGAGGCACAUGACUGAAGAACUGACAUGUCCAUGGAUGGGUCUGGAAUUUUGAGUUACUGCUUGGAGGGAGCUGUUUAAACUGCUUCUAUUGGGGUUGCCUGAGCCAAUUUUUCAUUUAUUGAGAUUUCUAACAUGAAGGUAAGUGUUUCAUGUUUUCAACUGGGCUUGGUUCCUAAAUUUGUAUGCCAGGCAUGACCUUUCUCUUGCUGUAGUACAAACUACUAAUGGGAGUUCCUGAGAACCAUAUCCCUGGCAUCCACAGUAGGAGAAGAUCAAUACUUUGGCACACAAAUUUCAUAAUCUCCAAAAUGAAAGACAAUGGAAUCCUUCGGUUUCUUUUCUCUAGGAAGUCACUUGUUGGCAACUGGGUGGCUAUUUAGACCUUAUUAAUCUAACAAGCCCUAAGAAAUCAAAGAGAACUGUCGCCAUAGAUUCCCCACAUAUCAUGGAUGCCAAAUGGCCAUGAUUUUAACAUUCAAUUUGAAUGGCUCCUAUUUGAAGAUGAAGAAGCAUAUGAUGCUCCCCCAAAUUGUCGUAAACUCAAUGACCAGUGCUCAUAUUAAUUCUGUCCUCCAUAGAAUCGGAUAGAAAUCCUCAAAGGUUGCAUGGAAAUGGAACCAAUAUCACAACUAAACAGCAUUUUGAUGAAAAGAAGAUUCUGUGUUAAUGCACUUGAUUCAGGAAUUUCUUUGAAUUCAUACACAAGAAGAAAACAGAUUCCCUAAAACCCCAGACAAAUUUUACCAGCAACAGACAGGCAGUACAAUAAUUUAGAAAUUAAUAGCACAUCAAUCUGAUUUUCACCAAAUUUAGAUAUCAGAAAAACUGCCGAGAAAUUAAACCACAACCCCCCCACCCCGAAAAGAAAGAAAAAAAAAUCCAGAUGUUCAUAAACUCAUAUAUGGAAAUCUAUCCCUACCCACUACAUAAAAGCCCUAUAUCCAGAAACCGACCAAGCUAGAUCACACAUCCAUUGAUAAACCUAACAAAUAGGGUCGACUAUAAGGAAAGUCGAUGGUUCAGAUGUCAAAAUUCACAAUGUUCAUAGCCAUUUUGCCUCAAAACUUUAGUUUAAGAAUCAAAGAGAAGUCAAGGACAGGUGGGAGAAGCACAGAGCAUGUUCAAAACGAUAAAACAACAGUUCUAUCACAUAAAAAUAAAAAAUAAAAGAUAAAAAAAGGAAGAAGAAGAAGAAGAGAAGCAAAAAAUUUGCUUCGCCAGAACUCCACGGUCAGCGGCCUCUACAUACUUUGAAGAGAGGUCUCGAUCUA